UUCAACUUUACCAAGAAACUCAACCGGUUCAUCCUUCAUUGACCAGAUACCAUUGACUGGAGCAAACAACGUUCCCGAAUUUCCCUCAAAGACAGCGGCGUUGUCAGAAUAAGCAGAAAUUGUAUAUUGGGGAUUUUUUAAAUGGGUAUUUCUAAUCAUUUUAAAUAGACUGUAGUCUUUCUUUUCGCCAUCAAUAGUCCAAUCAGCAUUGAAAAUUUUAUGACGACAGUGCUCUGAGUUAACUUGACCAAACAUGAAAAGUUCGACGUCUGUAGGCUCACGACUCUUUAAACUAGGCUCUGAGGUAUAGCACUCAACCAAAUAAUCAAUUUCAUCAGGUGCCAAAGCUAAUCCAAACUUCUUAUUGGCAUGAUUCAAUCGCUCGGUUGCAGCCUGCUUGUCACCACCUUGCCCACAGUUAAGCUCUAUUCUCACAAGUGGAGCUGGUUCGUGCUUAUCAAAAACUUCAUCCUCUUCCGGAAGUUUAAAUCUUAAAGCUUCAGUCAUGCGAUCAUAAAGAUGAUUCAAAGCAGAUUUAAGCAUCUCUUCUGAAAUGUCAUCUUUAAAAACUACUGAAUAGGCAAUACCUCUCUCUAUACGAAUCACAUCUUUAUAUCCACAAACAUUGGCAAUGUUCGUUGCUUUGGAUGACCAAGGAGAAAUUGUUCCUGGACGUGGAAACACAUAUACCAUCGUUGUUCCAUCAGGCUUGAAUUCAGAUUCUUGCAAAUCAGACAAAAUUGGUCGCAGACUUUCGCAAUUUAAAGAAGAAUUGGACUUAGUAUAGAUCAAGUAGAAAUAAACAGCAUUUAGAUCAGAAACUCCAGAAACUGUUAGUUCCAAAAUUUUUUUUUUACUCUGAACGCUCAAGGCAGAUCCACCAUAAUAAACCAACAUUUUCGUCUAAAAUGAUACAAA
Schizosaccharomyces pombe (fission yeast) is the source of this 918-nucleotide non-coding RNA. NCBI's taxonomy places the organism in Eukaryota, Fungi, Ascomycota, Schizosaccharomycetes, Schizosaccharomycetales, Schizosaccharomycetaceae. The record is from the annotation of a GenBank genome assembly.